UCUUAUGCUUCAUUGCAUUAAUGAGGGGAAUAGUGCUUUUUUUCCAGGCUGAUUAAUCAUUGAUAAUACCAUUAUUGCUUUUCAAUUAUUGCAUUCCUUUAAAAAGAAACAGAAGGCCCUUUGGGGUAAUUUUGUUUUGAAGUUGGAUAUGAGUAAGGAUUACGAUAAAGUGGAGUGACAUUUAGUGCAGGCAGUUAUGAUCAGAUUGGGUUUCGAGGAGUGUUGGGUUGAGUUGAUUAUGCGAUGUAUCUAGACUGUCAAAUAUUCGAUCAUUGUGAAUGGUAAGGCUCGAGGGAGACCCUCUAAGUCCCUUAUUGUUUUUAUUCUACAGUGAUGGCCUUUCAGCUUUGUUAAGGGUGACAUGUAAUGAUGACCUUUUGAAGGGAGUACAAGUAAUUCGAGGGGGUCCUCAAAUUUCCCACUUAUUCUUUGUAGAUGAUAGUCUGAUAUUUGGCAUGGCUUCUACUGAAGGGGCAAAUAACAUAGUGAUUGUUUUACAGGAAUAUGAGUGGUGUUCCGGGAAGCAAAUCAAUUUUGGCAAAUCCCUUAUUUAUUUUAGUUCAAAUGUUGAUCAUGGUAUACAUGCUACUAUUGAGGGAGUGUUGAGUGUUCGCAGUAUUGCGGAUCCUAGGAAUUAUUUAGGGUUGCCUAUGGUUGUGGGGAGUGACAAAAAAUGUGCAUUUCAGGCAAUUAAAGAUCAUUUUCUUGGAAAAUUUAGAAGUUGGUAUAAUCAAUGCUUCUCACAGGGUGGUAAGGCUGUAUUCAUUAAAUCAAUCCUACAAGUUAUUCAGCUAUACUCGAUCUCUUGUUUUUUUUAUUUCCCAGUUCUUUUUGUAAAUAUUUGGAGGCGUUAAUGUGUCAAUAUUGGUGGGGAAAGAAAGUCUCAAGGAGGGGGAUUCAUUGGUGUUCUUAGGAGAACUUGUGUUUUUUUUAAAGAGGUCGGUGGGCUUGGGUUUCGAGAUCUCUUGAAGGUUAAGAUUGCGUUAUUGGCUAAGCAAGGUUGCCGUGUGCUGACAAAUUUGAAUUCUUUAAUGUCUCAUGUGCUUAAAGCUAAAUACUUUCCUACGUGCAGUUUUAUGGAAGCAGGGUCAAGGCAACAACCUUCAUUUGUUUGGUGUAGUAUUUGGGUUGUUAAAGGCCUCUUUCAAAUGCGAAGGGGUUGGCAAGUGGGGAAUGGGUGCUCCAUCUCUGUAUAGGAUGAUGCCUGGCUUAUUGGUCCACGGCCUUGCAAAAUCAAUAUUGAUCGUGUUAGUGGAAUUAACAGAGUUGUAGAUUUGAUUGAUGUGGAUAAGGGCGAGUGGUGGAGUGAUUUAAUACAAACUUUAUUUCCUGAAUCGCUUGGGCGGUCCAUACUGAGUAGCCCGUUGGCUGGGCAUGAUUUAUCAGAUCGUUGGCACUAGUUCUUGGAGGAUAAUGGUAAAUAUUCGGUCUGGAGUGGCUACAAGCUACUGUUGCACAAUUCCAUCCUUCAUGUCUGUCGAGAUUGCCCUGGAGUCCUGCACAUUUGGCACAAUUGGGUAUUAGUUGGGAUCCUGUUCUAGCGGAUAAUGAUACACCCCUUCAUUGGGUUGGACAGUUCUUUUCUCAAGGCACUCGCCAUUUACAGCUCUCUAUUUUCACCAUAUAGACUAUCUGGACGUCUCGUAAUAAAAUCAUUCAUGAAAGAAUUUAUCAAUCAGUUCAGACGCUACUUAUGUUUGUUUUGGGGUAUCUGCGCGAAUUAGACUUUCUUCCGUCGAAUAGGGAUGGGGUUCUGGCUGUGAAGCCCAUGCUUUGGAAGCUUCCUGUUGAUCCUUGGGUUCGUGUCAAUUUUGAUGUGGGGUUCUUUGUGCAUCUGCAGGCUGCCAACGUCGGAGUUGUUGUUUGGGAUUCUGCUGGGUUGCUUUUGGGAUCGGCUUGUUCCUAGCAGGAAAACGUCUCCUGUUCGCUGACAUCGGAGGCCUUUGCUUGCGUUCAGGCUAUCCGUUUUGCUUAGGAUUUGGGGUUUCAGACAGUUGAACUGAAGGGUGAUUCGGCGGUGCUCAUUUCCAAGUUCAAUGUUGUUGCUAUUGACAGAUCGAUGAUGAGUUCCAUUAUCUGGGAUGUGAAACGAUUAGUGCUAGGUUUUGAGCAUUUCAUUACAUAAAACGGGGAGGUAAUACAGUAGCGCACCUGUUAGCUCGCGAAGGUUUCCUCCGGCGACGAGAUGUCUGUUGGAUGGAGGAGGAAGGAGGGACCAACAUUGAUUCAGGCAGCAGUGGAUAGUGAUCAGAGGGGGAGGGUCUGGUUAUGCGGCUAUGACUAUGGACCUUGCAGUUCUUGCUCGAUCUGGUUCCUUUCUAACAAUUUUUCUUUUGGUUUCAACCUUGUUCGUUGAUCUGUGGCUGACUCUUGUGGCGUUGGAGCUUUUUUGGCCAUGCAAUUUUGGCCAUGAAGAACAUUUGCGUUUUUUCAUUUAUUUUGGCCAUGCAAUUUUGGCUAUGACUAGUGUUUUCAUUUAUUUUGUUUUACUUCUUGGUUUAGAAGUCUUUUUCCUAACCAUACUAGAAAAUUUUUUAUUUCCUG
RNAcentral lists this long non-coding RNA (2544 nucleotides) under Gossypium barbadense (sea-island cotton). RNAcentral's name for it is "long non-coding RNA (GBAR_LNC013642)". The record is from RNAcentral. Lineage: Eukaryota; Viridiplantae; Streptophyta; Magnoliopsida; Malvales; Malvaceae.